This 352-nucleotide ribosomal RNA is filed under the name uncultured bacterium. RNAcentral describes it as "partial 16S ribosomal RNA". It matches the Rfam family "Bacterial small subunit ribosomal RNA", at positions 338 to 704 of the family's 1533-position model. The record is from RNAcentral.
CCUACGGGAGGCAGCAGUGGGGAAUAUUGGGCAAUGGGCGCAAGCCUGACCCAGCAACGCCGCGUGAAGGAAGAAGGCUUUCGGGUUGUAAACUUCUUUUGUCAGGGACGAAGCAAGUGACGGUACCGGACGAAUAAGCCACGGCUAACGACGUGCCAGCAGCCGCGGUAAUACGUAGGGGGCAAGCGUUAUCCGGAUUGACGGGGUGUAAAGGGCGCGUAGGCGGGACGGGCAGGCAGAGGUGAAAACCACGGGCUCACCCUGUGGCCUGCAUUUGAAACUGUAGUUCGUGAGUACUGGAGAGCCAGCCGGACUUCCUCUUGUAGCUGUGUACUGCGUACCUAUUAGGCGG